GCUCGCUUUCAAAAUUCGCCAUGGCUAUUAUAAAGGAAAAAAACAAGAUCAAACAGUAAGUAUAGAUCUCAAAUUUGAGAUUUUCUGAUGGCAUGGCAAAGAUGUAAUUUCCCUUUUUACCCAUGUUGUGAUUUGUGACUCCAGAUUUAGCUCAAGAAGUGGCACGUGAAAAGGUAGGUUUUUAUCUUCUGAUGUCUUUAAAAUGUGCACCUAAAUUUGUUUUGCGCUCAACAGGGCUCGGAACUCUAAGGCAAAUCACUUCAAAAGUUAAAAUUGUGUUGUGUUAUGUUAUUAACAGUGGUUAAUGGGUGAAUUGUCAAAUCAGACAUCUUUUUCCCUUUCCCUCUUUUUCAGACUCCAAGCCUGGAGAAAAGAGGAGCAUCUGUAUUAAAAACUGUCCGGACUCCACAAGAUUGCAAAGCAGUCUUGUGUUGGGAGGGGCUGAUUUGAAGACCUGCAUGUUUCCAAGACCAUGGACAGAUUUUACACAAAUGACAAUAUGCGUGGUGGUGAAACUCGUGCAAAGAGGGCGCACAAAAAGACUGCUCUGAUAGCGCUGAGUAAUCCCAAGGUCUACAAUGGGUGGUGCCUGAUGUCCAUCGGGUUCAUCUUUGUAGAAGCUGUUGACGCACUCACAGAGCCCACGGAUGAUGAAACAAGGACCGCAAUGGCUUCAAAAUUAAAACAGGCUCCAGCGCUGAGUUGCAAAGGGGGCUAUCAAAACCCCACAAGAGAGUGAUGUUUAUAUUGUUUCCCCCUUGUGUUUCGCCGAGCUGGUCGUUUUGUUAAUUUGAUAUGUCCUACAUAAAAUAUGUAUAUAUUUAUAUUGUAACUUAGUAGUUUUGUUCUAUUAAAUAGCCCUCAUUUAUUAAUAUUGUAUGUAUAUUUUUAC
This is a long non-coding RNA of Syngnathus acus (greater pipefish), 892 nucleotides long. RefSeq lists it as uncharacterized. NCBI's taxonomy places the organism in Eukaryota, Metazoa, Chordata, Actinopteri, Syngnathiformes, Syngnathidae. The record is from RefSeq and is a predicted model, not a curated record. The transcript is spliced from 4 exons.